MicroRNA precursor from Operophtera brumata (winter moth), 85 nucleotides. It matches the Rfam family "mir-67 microRNA precursor family". NCBI's taxonomy places the organism in Eukaryota, Metazoa, Arthropoda, Insecta, Lepidoptera, Geometridae. The record is from Rfam.
GAUCCCGGUUACUCACUCAACCUGGGUGUGAUGUGUGCACUCGUGCUCGGCCCAUCACAACCUCCUUGAGUGAGCGAUUGUGGUA